This 470-nucleotide long non-coding RNA is filed under the name Pan troglodytes (chimpanzee). Its description in RNAcentral is "lincRNA". Lineage: Eukaryota; Metazoa; Chordata; Mammalia; Primates; Hominidae. The record is from RNAcentral.
AACAGUGCUAUGAAGGAUACUGUGGCUAGAAGUCGUCCUGUCGUCCUGCCUCACAGUAACAUCGUUACCGAAUUCUCAGCAGGUGAACCAAAUGAAAUGGUCAACUGAAAGCCAACCAGGCAAAAAAUCACCAUGUACCAACCUAUCCAAACUUAUCCAUGGAUGAAUCUAUCCAGAAGACGGGAGUUCCGAUGCUUGUCUUGCUCUGAAUGUCUGCUUGUCACCUGCUUAGGGUUAUCGACUGUGAUUCUGGGACUCAUUGUUGUUCUACAGGACCCCUCUGACUCUGUGGUUUUCUCUACUGGAUUAACAAUGAUAGCCAUAGGUGCUUUUUUUGUUGUCCUCACUGGAGUGACAGCCCUGUGUACGGUUACAGUCGACGAGAACUUGCAGAAAACCACGAGGCUAAGACUAGGAGUGAUACGAAAAAGCGGAAGUCUCCAAGGAACUACAGAGCCUUCCAUGACUCA